Molecule: ribosomal RNA, 440 nt
Filed under: uncultured bacterium
Lineage: Bacteria
Description: partial 16S ribosomal RNA
Rfam family: Bacterial small subunit ribosomal RNA
Source: RNAcentral
CCUACGGGGUGCAGCAGUGGGGAAUAUUGGACAAUGGGGGAGACCCUGAUCCAGCGACGCCGCGUGAGUGAAGAAGUAUUUCGGUAUGUAAAGCUCUAUCAACAGGGAAGAAAAUGACGGUACCUGACUAAGAAGCCCCGGCUAACUUCGUGCCAGCAGCCGCGGUAAUACGUAGGGAGCAGGCGUUAUCCGGAUUUACUGGGUGUAAAGGGAGCGUAGAUGGUGCAGCAAGUCUGAUGUGAAAGGUUGGGGCUCAACCCUGGGAUUGCAUGGGAAACUGUUGAACGGGAGUACAGGAGAGGUAAGCGGAAUUCGUGGUGUAGCGGUGAAAUGCGUAGAUAUUAGGAGGAACACCAGGGGCGAAGGCGGCUUACUGGACUGUAACUGACGUUGAGGCUCGAAAGUGUGGGGAGCAAACAGGAUUAGAUACCCGUGUAGUC